AGAGUUUGAUCCUGGCUCAGGAUGAACGCUGGCGGCGUGCUUAACACAUGCAAGUCGAACGGGAAACCUAUUAUUGAAGCUUCGGCAGAUUUAAUUUGUUUCUAGUGGCGGACGGGUGAGUAACGCGUGGGUAACCUGCCCUAUACAGGGGGAUAACAACCAGAAAUGGUUGCUAAUACCGCAUAAGCGCACAGGACCGCAUGGUCCAGUGUGAAAAACUCCGGUGGUAUAGGAUGGACCCGCGUUGGAUUAGCCAGUUGGCAGGGUAACGGCCUACCAAAGCGACGAUCCAUAGCCGGCCUGAGAGGGUGAACGGCCACAUUGGGACUGAGACACGGCCCAGACUCCUACGGGAGGCAGCAGUGGGGAAUAUUGCACAAUGGGGGAAACCCUGAUGCAGCGACGCCGCGUGAAGGAAGAAGUAUCUCGGUAUGUAAACUUCUAUCAGCAGGGAAGAUAGUGACGGUACCUGACUAAGAAGCCCCGGCUAACUACGGGCCAGCAGCCGCGGUAAUACGUAGGGGGCAAGCGUUAUCCGGAUUUACUGGGUGUAAAGGGAGCGUAGACGGAAUGGCAAGUCUGAUGUGAAAGGCGGGGGCUCAACCCCCGGACUGCAUUG
Molecule: ribosomal RNA, 619 nt
Filed under: uncultured bacterium
Lineage: Bacteria
Description: bacterial SSU rRNA
Rfam family: Bacterial small subunit ribosomal RNA
Source: RNAcentral